This 440-nucleotide ribosomal RNA is filed under the name uncultured bacterium. RNAcentral's name for it is "partial 16S ribosomal RNA". It matches the Rfam family "Bacterial small subunit ribosomal RNA", at positions 338 to 795 of the family's 1533-position model. The record is from RNAcentral.
CCUACGGGAGGCUGCAGUGGGGAAUAUUGCACAAUGGGGGAAACCCUGAUGCAGCGACGCCGCGUGAGCGAUGAAGCAUUUCGGUACGUAAAGCUCUAUCAGCAGGGAAGAAGAUGACGGUACCUGACUAAGAAGCCCCGGCUAACUACGUGCCAGCAGCCGCGGUAAUACGUAGGGGGCAAGCGUUAUCCGGAUUUACUGGGUGUAAAGGGAGCGUAGACGGCGAUGCAAGCCAGGUGUGAAAGCCCGGGGCUCAACCCCGGGACUGCAUUUGGAACUGUGUGGCUGGAGUGUCGGAGGGGCAGGCGGAAUUCCUGGUGUAGCGGUGAAAUGCGUAGAUAUUAGGAGGAACACCAGUGGCGAAGGCGGUCUGCUGGACUAUGACUGACGUUGAGGCUCGAAAGCGUGGGGAGCAAACAGGAUUAGAUACCCGGGUAGUC